UACGUAGGCAGCAAGCGUUGUUCGGAGUUACUGGGCGUAAAGGGCGCGUAGGCGGGAUGGCAAGUCGGUCGUGAAAUCCUUCGGCUCAACCGAAGAACGUCGGGCGAUACUGCCGUUCUUGAGGGAUGCAGAGGAGAUUGGAAUUCCCGGUGUAGCGGUGAAAUGUGUAGAGAUCGGGAGGAAGACCAGUGGCGAAGGCGGGUCUCUGGACAGUUCCUGACGCUGAGGCACGAAGGUCAGGGGAGCAAACGGG
RNAcentral lists this ribosomal RNA (253 nucleotides) under uncultured bacterium. RNAcentral's name for it is "partial 16S ribosomal RNA". It matches the Rfam family "Bacterial small subunit ribosomal RNA", at positions 524 to 776 of the family's 1533-position model. The record is from RNAcentral.